CGGCGGCGGAGCAGGUGGCGGCGGGGGCGGGGGGCGCGGCGCCGGGCUGGGCGCGCCGGCACGCGCUGCUCGACAACACGCCGCCCACCACACCUGACAGCAGCCUCGACCUGUCACCACAUCGAGAGCGGCGGCUGUCGGAGCGCGACAGUCCCUUGGAGCGCAAGGAGGAGGACGAGGACGGCGCCGCGCGCUCGCCGCACCACAUGGACCUCGACAAACCUCACACGAGUCGUUCGCGCAAAGCGUCUGAGAGUUCGGCGGCGGGGCGUGGCCGCGCGCGGCGCGCACGACGCGACACCGACGAGCACGCGCACGCGCAUCUGCCGCUCUCGCACAACGCGCACCAUGCGCCUUACAAGUACAACUUCAUACUGGACCUGGGUACACAUUUAUAUAAUAAUCAAAAUAUGCUUAUCACCUAAAUAAUACUUUCAAACAGAUUCUUAACAGCUCUAUUCCACUUUUGAUGUCACCAGGUUUGAGUUUCCGGUCAUAACUUAUUUAAUUAUCAAUUUUGUAAUAUCUAACAAAAGCAUGCUUUAUAGACAUUUGUCUUGCUGUUGACGAAAAACCAUUGAUUAUUUCGGCCUAUUUGUCCUUAAGUGCGUUUGUUCCGGAUAAUUUUUUUUUAAGCGUGCACGAGCAAUCACUAAUAUUAUAAAUGCGAAAGUUUG
Molecule: long non-coding RNA, 677 nt
Organism: Papilio polytes (common Mormon)
Lineage: Eukaryota; Metazoa; Arthropoda; Insecta; Lepidoptera; Papilionidae
Exons: 3
Source: RefSeq, a predicted model, not a curated record